UCCCUGGUAGUAUAUCGGUUAGUACACGCGCCUGUCACAUACUGGUACAUCUCUGGUUCGCGCGAAAGCUGGGUUCGACUCCCAGCCAGGGAG
Marasmius sp. AFHP31 is the source of this 93-nucleotide non-coding RNA. NCBI's taxonomy places the organism in Eukaryota, Fungi, Basidiomycota, Agaricomycetes, Agaricales, Marasmiaceae. The record is from the annotation of a GenBank genome assembly.